Brassica napus (rape) is the source of this 3744-nucleotide long non-coding RNA. RefSeq lists it as uncharacterized. The transcript has 2 exons. The record is from RefSeq and is a predicted model, not a curated record. Lineage: Eukaryota; Viridiplantae; Streptophyta; Magnoliopsida; Brassicales; Brassicaceae.
UAAAAUAGAAAAUUCUUACUUGUAUCAUUUAUUUUUAAAGGUUGACCUACAAAUUUUGAAAUGAUUAGAGUUUGUUUUAUUUAAUAAACAGAAUAAUUUAUAAUUAUAAAUACAUUGAGAUUUUUAUCACCUUGCUCAUUAUAGAAUUUGGGUAACAUAAAUUUCUCAUCUUCUUGUCCACCAUACAUGGAAAAAUAUCGAUCCGUUCCAUCAUGUGUAACAAAACUGUUUUUUUUUUUUUUUUGAAGAUUGUAAGAGUUUUCUAUUUUUUAAAUAUAUAUUUAUAUUGUUUUAAAUUUAUCAUUCAAAUUUGUAAAUGAAAUGUUAGUCAUAUUUCAUCAUUCAUUCAAAAUAAUGAAUUUGUUGAUAUGGUUAUGGAUAUGGAAACAGCUGAAAAAAGUGGGAAGAGUGUAACAAAACUGUUAGAAUAAGUUUUUUGGAGGCCGGACAUAUUCUGAAAUUAAACUGACAAAUAUUAAAAUGAGUAUAUACAAAAAACCUUAACAUUACAAUUGCAAAGGAAAAAAACAAAUAGACCUAUAUCUAUAUAUAUUUUUGUAAAUUAUUUUUGUGUGUUGUAUAUAUAUAUUUUUUUUGUUCAACGUGUGUUGUAUAUAUAUUUCCAUGAACAACAGAUUAAACAAAUUUGAUUGGCCGUGGUUUGUUUAUUCCAUUUUGCAGAGUUAAAAUCUAAAAGAAUUUUUUUGCUUUCCCAGAUCCAACCUGCGCCGUCGCCAAAGGCUCAUUCUAGAAACCGGCAGUUUGCAAGUAAUACGGUUUCCGGGACUUCACGGCGGGGGUGUCCAAGCCCAGCAUCGAUUCGUCACCAGUCACCGUCAGUAUGCCAUUCUCGGAAGGGUCCACGCAGCACAAACCGCUGGCAUCUUACUUCCGGCUCAAAACCCUAGCGGCCGCAAGUUGCUUGAGUCUCUAGGCUCCUGACAGGUCCGAGCAUCCACGUAUCCUUCCUCAAUCGAAGCCCUGACUGAAGAAUCCGGCUAAGAAGAGAGGAGAGGGAACCGCUAUCCGAAAUCCAACCUCCGCCGUCGCCAAAGGCUCACUCUAAAAACCGGCAGUUUAUAAGUAAUCUGGUUUCCGGGACUUCACGGCGGGGGUGUCCAUGCCCAACAUCGAUUCGUCAGUCACCAAAUCCUAGACGCCGCAAGUUGCAUGAGUCUCUUGCUCCUCACAGGUCCGAGAAGCCACAUAUCCCUCCUCAAUCGAAGCAAUGACUGAAGAAUACGGCUAGGAAGUGAGGAGAGAGAACCACCAUCCCAGAUCCAACCUCCGUCGUUGCCAAAGGCUCACUCUAGAAACCGGAGAAGACAACUUCACUCUUGAUAAGGUUGAACCGGACCACCAAAGUCAGAUGAACCUCUAGUUGCACACGGACGCGAGCUGGCUCCUUAUCGGGUCGCAAGAUGGGACGGAACGCGAGCUGUAUGGAACGGUCUUGCGUCUGGUCACGGAUGUGUGCUGAGGUAGUUGGACGCGAUCGGGACGCGUCUUCUUCUUAUCUAGUUCGCGAGCUGCUGCCUUUGCAAGCGGCUGAUCUAAUUGCGAGCUGGCUGUGAUGCGAACGUGGGCUGGCUCUAUUGUGAACAGGAAGCAAUAUGAGAAGAACCGUGAGCUGGUCAAGAUUGAGAUCGUCGGUUCAUGGUCAGUAUAUGGAUCGCGAACAGCUUUGUGUUUGAGAUCUUUGCACCAACUCCUCUCAGCUCAUGAAAUAAAAACAAGGAGUAUUAGAUUACAUGAACACCAUAAUCUGAACAAUAUAUCAUCAAACAACUAAGGUAUGAUAAACUUAUCUUUCACAGGAUUUGAAUUUGGCUAGAAAAUCUUCUUGGUUCGGAUUAGGGUUCCAAAAGACCAAGGCGGCGCCGCGUACUGUUUCUGCGAGUGAGGGCGCGUCUGAGAUCGGAACGACGAACGGUUUGCGCUGAUGGAUUCAAUUUGAUAUUUGGCUUGUCGUCUGGUUCCUCAAGCUUUGAGAGAUAGAUCGAUUUUAAGUUGCGCCUGAUUUAGGGUUUAUGUGUGACGGAUUUUAGGUUAAGUUUUGUCUCAGGGUUUUGGAGUCUAUCGUGCUGAUAACGUGUUGUAAUUAGAGAGUUUAGAGACUGAAUAUUUCGGUGUUAUUAUUAAUGAUUAAGGGGGUUCCUUUAUAUAAGGAUUACAAGAUGAAGAUAAAUGGAAAAUAUCCAAAACCUAAACUCACUAGGAUUAGGAAAACUACUAAUACAUAAUAAUGGAAAGAUUACAUCUACUAGGAAAAGGAAAGGGUUUCCUUUUCUCCAAGCUUUAUGGCCGCCUUUCUCUCUCCUGAAGUCGGCUCUCUCUCUCCUCUCUCUAGGCUUCGGCCAUCUCUCCAUCUUCUAGGUAUUGGGCCGGUCUCGGUCCGGACCUGGUUAAUGGCAAUCCACUCCAUGAUUUAUAACAUAAAAUGCAUUUAUAGUGUACGUAUAUCAUGCACUAUGACUAAAUUUCUAGAUAACGUUCAUAAAUAAAAUCUACACCUAAAGAUAAUAUUAUAAAAAAAAAAUUACAACAAUAACUACAACUACGUAGACGUUCAGAAAUAAAAUCCACCGAUUCAGAUUAUUAUUUCCCAUUCUUAAGAGAUUUUUAAAUACUAAUUAGAGUUUAAUUAUGCACAUUUAAUGCGUCUGCAAAACCAAAUUAAGCAAAUACAAAAUAAAAUUCCAUAUAAGGCUUCACUCACAAAUAUUAAAUUUUUAGAGUAGUCUUUUUUUGUCUACAUAUAGCUCUAUCUAGUUCAUUUAUGUAUAACUCCACAUCUCUGCGCAGAUCGUACCAUGGUUAACAACUAUAUAGUAUUCUAUUUCUAGUCCAGGUCUGCAUUAUUUACGAUUUGUAAUGCUACUUUCUUUGUGCCGACAAACAAAUGUAGGGAAAGAGUUGUUGGAAAGAGAAGUGGACGUGACUAUCUCCACCAUAUCCACUUAUGUCCCCAUAUGUCUCCUUUCCGUUCGUUGUCAGUACUCAGUAGACUCCUUUUUAAGAAAACGAGAGAAACAUAGCUAGACGCAAAUCUAAGAAAAUACAACAUAAAGAGCGAAGUUUUUGCUUAAUAAAAAGUAGGGGGCUUUUGUCCCUUGCAUCCUACCAAAAAAAAAAUCUUGUUCACCUAACGGGGCGUUGUUUGAAAUUAUACAGUAGAUAUAGUCAUAUAGGCCUGGCUUGUCGGUCGAGGAAUGACUCAAUGAAGUCUGGAAUUACGUUCCUUCCUAGGACUGUAAACCGCAGCAGGAAAGGGGAUUUUGCUAAGAACUGACUGUUGAAGAUCUAAAAGUGAUAAAAUUUGGACUGAAAAAAAUAACAUUUGAUAAGACUUGCUAACGUUGGAAUGGAGAAUUCAUAUAUAUUACAUCAAACCUUUUCCCUUAGGAUAAAUUUGUUUAUAAUGCUUAGUCAAGUUGUUAUUUAUCUAAUUUUCAAAAUUGUAUUACGUGGUCAUGCAGCUAGUCUAAUUUUCAUUUACGUAUUUGGCUGCAGAAGUAAAAGAAAAAAAAAAAGAUAAAUUAUAGGAUGACGACAUGAAGGAAGUUUCUUUUCAUUAGAGCUGGAAAUUUUAAUCAUUGCCCGCGGGCCCCGCUCCGUUUGACCCGCCGCGGGGCGGGUGCGGGUCGAACCAUUUGAAAAUUUUAAUUCGCGGGUGCGGGUCGAGAUUAUUUUGAGCGGGGCGGGUGCGGGUCAGCCGAAUUUGAAUCGCGGGUACCCGCCAAC